RNAcentral lists this ribosomal RNA (762 nucleotides) under uncultured Acidobacteriota bacterium. RNAcentral describes it as "bacterial SSU rRNA". It matches the Rfam family "Bacterial small subunit ribosomal RNA", at positions 8 to 744 of the family's 1533-position model. The record is from RNAcentral. Lineage: Bacteria; Pseudomonadati; Acidobacteriota.
AGAGUUUGAUCCUGGCUCAGAAUGAACGCUGGCGGCGUGCCUGAUACAUGCAAGUCGAGCGCGAAAGUGGCCUUCGGGCCGCGAGUAGAGCGGCGAACGGGUGAGUAACACGUGGGUAACCUGCCUUGGAGUGGGGAAUAACUUGGGGAAACCCGAGCUAAUGCCGCAUACGCUCGCCAGACCUUCGGGUCCGGCGAGGAAAGGUGGCCUAUUCUUGAAAGCUGCCGUUCCAAGAGGGGCCCGCGCCCGAUUAGCUAGUUGGUGAGGUAACGGCUCACCAAGGCGACGACCGGUAGCCGGCCUGAGAGGGUGAUCGGCCACACUGGAACUGAGACACGGUCCAGACCGCUACGGUGGGCAGCAGUACGGGAUAUUGCGCAAUGGGCGAAAGCCUGACGCAGCAACGCCGCGUGAAGGAUGAAGGCCUUCGGGUCGUAAACUUCUGUCAGGCGGGACGAACGAGCGGCGGUGAAUACCCGCCGUUUCUUGACGGUACCGCCGGAGGAAGCCCCGGCUAACUCCGUGCCAGCAGCCGCGGUAAUACGGAGGGGGCAAGCGUUAUUCGGAAUUAUUGGGCGUAAAGGGCGUGUAGGCGGCUUGAUAAGCCAAAGGUGAAAUCCCUCAGCUCAACUGAGGAACUGCCUUUGGAACUGUCUCGCUAGAGGCCAGGAGAGGGUAGCGGAAUUCCCAGUGUAGCGGUGAAAUGCGUANAUAUUGGGAGGAACACCAGUGGCGAAGGCGGCUACCUGGACUGGUACUGAC